CGCCGUAAACAAACUCACCUCGCACGCGCGAAGGAAAAGAAAAAAUAUAUACAAGAGAGAAGUUUCGGAUUGACAUGGAGCCGCCGAGCCGCGCGGACGCGCCAUGGCGAAGCUCCCGUUCUGCGGACUUUUCGUGCAAACUGGUUGCAAAGUUUGGAACUGUGUUGGCGGCGCCCUUCGCGUGCGCAGCAGGGCGAUAUGUUUUCACCAGUGGACACGAAAGGUCUGUUGCGAGGCCAUUGCAAUGCCCCGCAAUGUGAGUGCGACGGAUUUUGCCGUUCCGCGAACAACGUACCUGCUGCACCAUUCCAGGCCGCUUGGUGCUCAUACUGUGGGCACAGCCCAGUACAACAUGCUCGAAUUGGGACAACCCAGGACGUGUAUUUCUCAGCACCCAGUCAACUGCCAGAAGUGACUCAUACACAGGCCACCAGGUCAACCCAGGACAUGGGUUUCUCAGCACCCAGUCAGAAGUAACUCAACCACAGGCCACCAGUGGCACUCAGCUGUACCACUGCACUGCUGCUGAAAUUGCCAGCACCAGCGGCUUUGUAACAGCUGUUUCACAGCAUCUCGGCGACAAUGCCUACGAAAUUAUUGGCCCUGAUGACGAGAGCCCUCAAGGGGCAAACGACAUCUCUGUUGAAGAAGUGAGCCCGAUACCACCUUAAGUUACCAUGACAGAUGACACGGCAGCAAUAGAUACAGAGACUGCCGUGUCUACUGCAGCUGCAACAGUGUACGAGGCAAGCAGCAGCACGUCAGCAUCAGCAGUAGUGUCAGAAGGAACCGAACCAGGCCUGGUAGGGCAACAUGUGUGCUACCACUGUGACUUUUUUGUAGUGCAUACACCUCAUCUGCUCAACAUACGGAAGCUUUUCACCACGACUGCGAGCCAGUGUUCUUGUGCAGCGAAAGCAAGACUAUGUUUGGUGUUAUAACACAGUAUAAGCAUCACUUUAAAAUAUUCAAACCUAUUACAGUUGCCUCCCCGGCCAGCCCACAUAGCGACAACAAUGUGGAACGUAUGGUGGGACACACCUCUCCCCCAUUAGAAGAUAGUAGAGAGACUGUCAGUGUGGUUGCUAGAUUAACUGGUCAUUGUAGCCGACUAGAAGGACAACACAGGUGUCAUAAGGUUGUUGUUGAUGUUGUUGGUGAAGAGGUAAAAAAGAUGUUUGAUGCAGCUGAAGCAUUGAUAUUGAGCAAAUGAAAAGUGACCGCCUGAGAAAGCUACACUAUCGAAAUUUGGGUAUCUAUAUGCCGCCAACUCUGGUAAAGCUCACAGGGAAUGUAAAGACUUAUGUUGUAAAGUUA
Molecule: RNA transcript, 1317 nt
Organism: Dermacentor silvarum
Lineage: Eukaryota; Metazoa; Arthropoda; Arachnida; Ixodida; Ixodidae
Exons: 5
Source: RefSeq, a predicted model, not a curated record